RNAcentral lists this ribosomal RNA (229 nucleotides) under uncultured bacterium. RNAcentral describes it as "partial 16S ribosomal RNA". It matches the Rfam family "Bacterial small subunit ribosomal RNA", at positions 568 to 796 of the family's 1533-position model. The record is from RNAcentral.
CACGCAGGCGGUUAAGUGUGUCCGGUGUGAAAUCCCUCGGCUCAACCGAGGAACUGCGCCGGAAACUACUUGACUUGAGGGUUGGAGAGGUGAGUGGAACUCCAGGUGUAGCGGUGAAAUGCGUAGAUAUCUGGAGGAACGCCGGAGGCGAAAGCGACUCACUGGACAAUUCCUGACGCUGAGGUGCGAAAGCCAGGGGAGCGAACAGGAUUAGAUACCCUGGUAGUCC